GAUGAACGCUGGCGGCGUGCCUAAUACAUGCAAGUCGAGCGAACAGACGAGGAGCUUGCUCCUCUGACGUUAGCGGCGGACGGGUGAGUAACACGUGGAUAACCUACCUAUAAGACUGGGAUAACUUCGGGAAACCGGAGCUAAUACCGGAUAAUAUAUUGAACCGCAUGGUUCAAUAGUGAAAGACGGUUUUGCUGUCACUUAUAGAUGGAUCCGCGCCGCAUUAGCUAGUUGGUAAGGUAACGGCUUACCAAGGCAACGAUGCGUAGCCGACCUGAGAGGGUGUUCGGCCACACUGGAACUGAGACACGGUCCAGACUCCUACGGGAGGCAGCAGUAGGGAAUCUUCCGCAAUGGGCGAAAGCUUGACGGAGCAACGCCGCGUGAGUGAUGAAGGUCUUCGGAUCGUAAAACUCUGUUAUUAGGGAAGAACAAAUGUGUAAGUAACUAUGCACGUCUUGACGGUACCUAAUCAGAAAGCCACGGCUAACUACGUG
This 497-nucleotide ribosomal RNA is filed under the name uncultured bacterium. Its description in RNAcentral is "partial 16S ribosomal RNA". It matches the Rfam family "Bacterial small subunit ribosomal RNA", at positions 28 to 507 of the family's 1533-position model. The record is from RNAcentral.